RNAcentral lists this ribosomal RNA (468 nucleotides) under uncultured bacterium. Its description in RNAcentral is "partial 16S ribosomal RNA". It matches the Rfam family "Bacterial small subunit ribosomal RNA", at positions 28 to 507 of the family's 1533-position model. The record is from RNAcentral.
GACGAACGCUGGCGGCGCGCCUAACACAUGCAAGUCGAACGGAGUCAAGAGGAGCUUGCUUUUCUUGACUUAGUGGCGAACGGGUGAGUAACGCGUGAGUAACCUGCCCUGGAGUGGGGGACAACAGUUGGAAACGACUGCUAAUACCGCAUAAGCCCACGGAUCUGCAUGGAUCUGCGGGAAAAGGAUUUAUUCGCUCUAGGAUGGACUCGCGUCCAAUUAGCUAGUUGGUGAGGUAACGGCCCACCAAGGCGACGAUUGGUAGCCGGACUGAGAGGUUGAACGGCCACAUUGGGACUGAGACACGGCCCAGACUCCUACGGGAGGCAGCAGUGGGUGAUAUUGCACAAUGGGGGAAACCCUGAUGCAGCGACGCCGCGUGGAGGAAGAAGGUUUUCGGAUUGUAAACUCCUGUCGUUAGGGACGAUAAUGACGGUACCUAACAAGAAAGCACCAGCUAACUACGUG